GGCAGAUGAUGUCCAUUCUCACUAUGGUCUUCGGAUGCCCCAGGCCCCAAGACCCCCCCGUCCCCCCUCCGUGGGCACUAAUGACACUGCCAAAAAGCUCAGCUGAUACCAGGGG
Small nucleolar RNA from Ornithorhynchus anatinus (platypus), 115 nucleotides. RefSeq annotates it as small nucleolar RNA SNORD35. NCBI's taxonomy places the organism in Eukaryota, Metazoa, Chordata, Mammalia, Monotremata, Ornithorhynchidae. The transcript has a single exon. The record is from RefSeq and is a predicted model, not a curated record.